Molecule: long non-coding RNA, 280 nt
Organism: Panicum virgatum (switchgrass)
Lineage: Eukaryota; Viridiplantae; Streptophyta; Magnoliopsida; Poales; Poaceae
Exons: 2
Source: RefSeq, a predicted model, not a curated record
CUUCUGGAGGACGUUCGUUUGCUGCUGGAGGAGUGCAAGAAGAAGCACGAUGAAGAAGAUCUACAAGCGGCGCUUGCGAGCAUCAAGGUCGAUCGACGCGGCAAAGUCACCAAGAUCAAGGAGAUCGACUUCGCUUCUACCUCCUCGGAUGCAUCUACUGAGGUUGAUCAGAAUCCUUUCCCAGUGCAUGUGUUGGAAUUAAAUAAUCCUAAAGUGCUAGUUCGGCCGAGUCAAGCCGAAUCAACCAAGGGGAAGAAUGUAGUUAUUGGUGAUGAAAGAC